Molecule: ribosomal RNA, 480 nt
Filed under: uncultured bacterium
Lineage: Bacteria
Description: partial 16S ribosomal RNA
Rfam family: Bacterial small subunit ribosomal RNA
Source: RNAcentral
ACUCAAAUGAAUUGACGGGGGCCCGCACAAGCAGCGGAGCGUGUGGUUUAAUUCGAUGCAACACGAAGAACCUUACCUGGGCUUGACAUGGCCGUGUAAGGGCGGGAAACCGUCCCCCUCUUCGGAGCACGGUCACAGAUGUUGCAUGGCUGUCGUCAGCUCGUGUCGUGAGAUGUUGGGUUAAGUCCCGCAACGAGCGCAACCCUCGUGGCUUGUUGAGAUAUCAAGCCAGACUGCCUACAAAAUAGGAGGAAGGUGGGGAUGACGUCAAGUCCGCAUGGCUCUUACGUCCAGGGCUACACACACGCUACAAUGGCCGGUACAAUGCGCAGCCACCGCGCGAGCGGGAGCGAAUCGCCGAAAGCCGGUCUCAGUUCGGAUGGUAGGCUGCAACUCGCCUGCCUGAAGUCGGAGUUGCUAGUAACCGCGUGACAGCAGAGCGCGGUGAAUAUGUUCCCGGGCCUUGCACACACCGCCCGU